RNAcentral lists this unclassified non-coding RNA (231 nucleotides) under Hevea brasiliensis (rubber tree). The record is from RNAcentral. Lineage: Eukaryota; Viridiplantae; Streptophyta; Magnoliopsida; Malpighiales; Euphorbiaceae.
GUCAAAAUGAGUUGGAUUGUUUCCCACAGCUGUAGGCAGAUGACUCAAGCACUCAGCAGCAAAAACUCUUGUUCGGUAUCUGAGGUGCUUAUCUCUACUAGGGUUAACGUUGGAAGCUUCAUAUGCAUAACCUUGCACUGGUGUGCCCUUAGAUCCAGAGACCAUAUUUUCAUCAUCUUCUCCAAAGUUUAAUUGUGAGUCACUGUCUGGACCAUUAAGAUUAUAAUUUCC